CUCUCCAGAGAAGGACCUGGGUGUCCUGGUGGACAAGAAGUUGUCCAUGAGCCAGCAGUGUGUCCCUGUGACCAAGAAGGCAAAUGAUAUCUUGGGGUGCCAGGAGGCGAAAGGAAAGGAUUCUGCACCUCUACUCAGCCGUGGUGAGGCCACAUCUGGAGUGCUGUGUCCAAUUCUGGGCUCCUCAGCACAAGAGAGACAUGGAGCUCCUAGAGUGGGUCUAGCAGAGGGUGACAAAGAUGAUUAAGGGACAGAAGCAUCUCUCUUCUGAGAAUAGGCUGGGAGAGUUGGGCCUAUUCAACCUCUUGAAGAGACAGCUGAGGGGGAACCUCAACAAUAUCUUUUUUCAGAUAUUCAGACAUGAUCCAGAACCUGAAUGGCUUCAUGUUUCACUAUAGUCAAGGUAUCACAAUUUCCUGCAGCAUCUUGGUUAGCAAGACACACUUAUGACCAAGAAAUUACACUGCCACAGAUGAUGAAAUCCUGCAAGAAGG
Long non-coding RNA from Lepidothrix coronata (blue-crowned manakin), 494 nucleotides. RefSeq lists it as uncharacterized. Lineage: Eukaryota; Metazoa; Chordata; Aves; Passeriformes; Pipridae. The record is from RefSeq and is a predicted model, not a curated record. The transcript has 3 exons.